UUUCCUGAUCAACGCUAAUCGGAUCAGGGUUAGUCGGGUCCUAAGGGUAAGCCGAACGGUGAUCUCGAUGGAUAAUCGGUUAAUAUUCCGAUACUAACAUAUACCUCGAUGGAGAGACGAAGGAACGUAAGUGCCGCCACCUGACGGAAUAGGUGGUUAAAGGGCGUAGGUAUAGGGGCAGAUUAAGAGUUAGUCCUUGCUGAAACCUGACAGUACAGAGAGCCUACGGGCAAUUUGAUAGUGCACCCAAGUCGACUUCCGAGAAAAUCUUCUAAGUUAUAGUAUAUGUCACCCGUACCGUAAACCGACACAGGUGGUCGAGGAGAGUAUCCUAAGGUGCUCGAGUGAAUCACGGUUAAGGAACUAGGCAAAUUAACCCCGUAACUUCGGGAAAAGGGGUCCCAUCGCGAGGUGGGCGCAGCGAAGAGGUCCAGGCGACUGUUUAUCAAAAACACAGGGCUCUGCAAAUUCGAAAGAAGACGUAUAGGGCCUGACACCUGCCCGGUGCUGGAAGGUUAAGAGGGGAUGUCAUCGCAAGAGAAGCAUUGAAUCGAAGCCCCAGUAAACGGCGGCCGUAACUAUAACGGUCCUAAGGUAGCGAAAUUCCUUGUCGGGUAAGUUCCGACCUGCACGAAUGGUGUAACGAUCUGGACACUGUCUCAACCGUGAGCUCGGUGAAAUUGUAGUCCCGGUGAUGAUGCCGGGUACCCGCAACGGGACGAAAAGACCCCGUGAACCUUUACUAUAGCUUAACGCUGAAUUUGGGUACACAAUGUGUAGGAUAGGCCGGAGGCUUUGAAGCGGGCACGCCAGUGUUCGUGGAGCCGACGUUGAAAUACGGCCCUUUGUGUAUUUGAGUUCUAACCCUGCGAAGGGGACACCGUUUGGUGGGUAGUUUGACUGGGGUGGUCGCCUCCAAAAGCGUAACGGAGGCUUCCCAAGGUACCCUCAGCACGAAUGGUAACCGUGCGCGGAGUGCAAUAGCAUAAGGGUGCUUGACUGUGAGACAUACAAGUCGACCAGGUACGAAAGUAGGGUAUAGUGAUCCGGUGGUUCUGCGUGGACUGGCCAUCGCUCAAAGGAUAAAAGGUACUCCGGGGAUAACAGGCUGAUCGCCGCCAAGAGCUCAUAUCGACGCGGCGGUUUGGCACCUCGAUGUCGGCUCGUCACAUCCUGGGGCUGGAGAAGGUCCCA
This 1194-nucleotide ribosomal RNA is filed under the name human gut metagenome. RNAcentral describes it as "bacterial LSU rRNA". It matches the Rfam family "Bacterial large subunit ribosomal RNA", at positions 1351 to 2567 of the family's 2925-position model. The record is from RNAcentral.